RNAcentral lists this ribosomal RNA (642 nucleotides) under Pleurotus floridanus. RNAcentral's name for it is "eukaryotic LSU rRNA". The stretch from base 239 to 392 matches the Rfam family "5.8S ribosomal RNA". The record is from RNAcentral. Lineage: Eukaryota; Fungi; Basidiomycota; Agaricomycetes; Agaricales; Pleurotaceae.
GUGGCCUUCUGAUCCUAUGGAGUUGUUGCUGGCCUCUAGGGGCAUGUGCACGCUUCACUAGUCUUUCAACCACCUGUGAACUUUUGAUAGAUCUGUGAAGUCGUCUUUCAAGUCGUCAGACUUGGUUGGCGGGAAUUUAAACUUCCCGGGGGGCCACCCCAUCCAAUUUACUUAACACCCCCCAAGUGUGUGUCCACAAGUGUCUUUUAGUGGCCCGUGUGCCUAUAAACCAUAAUACAUUUUUCAACAAGAGAUCUCGUGUCUCUCGCCUCUAAGAAAAACGCAGCAAAGUGAUAUAAAUAGUGAAAAUUGCAAAUUUCAGUGAAUCAUCAAAUCUUUGAACGCCCCGUGCCCCCCGUGAUAUUCAGAGGGGUGUGUGUGUGAGAGUGUCAAUAAUCUCUCACACUCAUUUUGGUUUUUCCAAUUGUGAUGUUUGGAUUGUUGGGGGCUGCUGGCCUUGACAGGUCGGCUCCUCUUAAUGCAUUAGCAGGACUUCUCAUUGUCUCUGCGCAUGAUGUGAUAUUAUCACUCAUCUAUAGCACGCAUGAAUAGAGUCUAGCUCUCUAAUCGUCGCAAGACAAUUGACAAUUGACCUCAAUCACGUAGACUACCGCUGACUUAAGCAUAUCAUAGCGGAGAGGA